AAUAAAGUAAGCUAAUUUAUAAGCUAUUGGGUUCAUACCCCAAAUAUGAUUAAUUAUUAAUCCUUUAUUA
RNAcentral lists this transfer RNA (70 nucleotides) under Rhipicephalus zambeziensis. RNAcentral's name for it is "tRNA-Met". The record is from RNAcentral. Lineage: Eukaryota; Metazoa; Arthropoda; Arachnida; Ixodida; Ixodidae.